GCUCAGGACGAACGCUGGCGGCGUGCCUAAGCUUAUGCAAGUCGAACGCGAACGGCUCCUUCGGGAGCCUAGUAGAGUGGCAAACGGGUGAGUAACGCGUGGGUAACGUACCCUGAUCCUGGGAAUAACCCUCGGAAACGAGGGCUAAUACCGAAUGUGGCGAACGACCGGUUGGUCGCUCGCUAAAGGUGGCCUCUUCUAUGCUGCCGGGUUGGGAUCGGCCCGCGUCCCAUUAGCUAGUUGGUGAGGUAACGGCUCACCAAGGCCACGAUGGGUAGCCGGCCUGAGAGGGUGUACGGCCACACUGGCACUGAGACAAGGGCCAGUCCCCUAUGGGAGGCGCAGGCGGGAAUAGUUCACAAUGGGCGAAAGCCUGAUGACGCGACGCCGCGUGAGCGAAGAAGACCUUCGGGUUGUAAAGCUCUGUCAGGAGGGAAGAAGGCUCUACGGGUUAAUAGCCCGUGGAAUUGACGGUACCUCCAGAGGAAGCCCCGGCUAAAUACGUGCCAGCAGCCGCGGUAAUACGUAUGGGGCAAGCGUUGUCCGGAUUUACUGGGCGUAAAGGGCGCGUAGGCGGUUUGUUAAGUCGAAGGUGAAAUCCUCGGGCUCAACUCGAGAAUUGCCUUCGAUACUGGCAAACUAGAGUGGCGGAGAGGAAAGCGGAACUCUUGGUGUAACGGUGGAAUGUGUAGAUAUCAAGAGGAACACCGGUGGCGAAGGCGGCUUUCUGGACGCACACUGACGCUCAGGCGCGAAAGCGUGGGUAGCAAACAGGAUUAGAUACCCUGGUAGUCCACGCCAUAAACGAUGGGUACUAGGUGUCGGGGGUAUCGACCCCUCCGGUGCCGCAGUUAACGCACUAAGUACCCCGCCUGGGGAUUAUGGUCGCAAGGCUGAAACUCAAAGGAAUGACGGGCCCCGCACAAGCGGUGGAGCAUGUGG
RNAcentral lists this ribosomal RNA (942 nucleotides) under uncultured organism. Its description in RNAcentral is "bacterial SSU rRNA". It matches the Rfam family "Bacterial small subunit ribosomal RNA", at positions 22 to 944 of the family's 1533-position model. The record is from RNAcentral.